CUUCUAUUUCAUUCCCUUAUAAAUUGCUACCGCCUACCAGUACCAAGCAAGAACAUGAAGCUAACCAGUUGAGGCUUCUCCUCGCAGCCUCAUCUUCUCAAUUUUCGUUAAUGUUUUAUCUUCAAAAGCUGCAUCUCUUUUAGAGUUCUGUUGGCUGCAAGAGCACACAGAGAUCUGUGUUAAAAUUCUUGUUGGCUUUGUUCUGGAGGCACAAAUCGAUGGCCAGAGCUUUGGGAGAUUUGACCGGAAGGUUUUAUUAAUUCCUCCUCCCGGUUUCCCUUCUCUGGUAAAUCCUUUUUUAUUGAAGUUUGAUUCUAUCUCCUCGAUUUUUUUUUGGAAACAAAUGGAGCCUAAGUUUGGUUUGUUGUUGGAAUAUUUUCUUCUUGUUCUUACAAUUUUAACAGAUUACUGGGAUAAGGAAUCAAUGAUCUCUUCAAAAUUCAAAUCCAAUAUAAGGGUAGAAAGAACGGAAAACACAGAGUGGAGAAUUUGCAGGGGUUCUUCAUUGUCCCAAAUCAGAACAUGAAAAGGAGAAUUAAGCAAACUCAGCUCAGAAUUCUGGAGAAACAAAACGAACAGGUCAAAAGGUUUCUCCAUGAUGGGUUGAGAAAGAAAAAAACCCAGCUAGCCAAAAUCGAUUGGGGAAAUGUUUGAAAAGUCUAAUCUCUUAAGGCAAAGCAUUUUCUAUCAUCCUCUUUCCUUGAAUCUCCAUUCUCCAAACCUGCAAGGAAUUCGUCUUGGAUUCUAAAGUUGGGAGUCCUUACUGGAUUGGGGUUUUAGAACGGAAGACUAUCAGCUUUCGACCAGAAUCGGCAGAUAGAAUUCUAUCGAUUCACGGUGAUUGGAUCCCGGAACGUCUUUAAUUCUGUAACAGGUUUUUAGUAAUGAUAUCGGAUCCUAUCGGAUCGUAUUGGUUUUGAUUGAAGUCGAUAUCAAUACCUGGUCGAAAAAUUAUAUUUUCAUGAAAAUAAGAAUAAAAUGGCCAAAGAAAUUGUCUAAAA
Long non-coding RNA from Macadamia integrifolia, 1001 nucleotides. RefSeq lists it as uncharacterized. The transcript is spliced from 2 exons. Lineage: Eukaryota; Viridiplantae; Streptophyta; Magnoliopsida; Proteales; Proteaceae. The record is from RefSeq and is a predicted model, not a curated record.